Molecule: ribosomal RNA, 253 nt
Filed under: uncultured bacterium
Lineage: Bacteria
Description: partial 16S ribosomal RNA
Rfam family: Bacterial small subunit ribosomal RNA
Source: RNAcentral
UACGUAGGUGGCAAGCGUUAUCCGGAUUUAUUGGGUGUAAAGGGCGUGUAGGCGGGAGCGCAAGUCAGGUGUGAAAACUCAGGGCUCAACCCUGAGCCUGCAUUUGAAACUGUGUUUCUUGAGUGCUGGAGAGGCAAUCGGAAUUCCGUGUGUAGCGGUGAAAUGCGUAGAUAUACGGAGGAACACCAGUGGCGAAGGCGGAUUGCUGGACAGUAACUGACGCUGAGGCGCGAAAGCGUGGGGAGCAAACAGG